This 264-nucleotide ribosomal RNA is filed under the name uncultured Eubacteriales bacterium. Its description in RNAcentral is "uncultured Clostridiales bacterium partial 16S ribosomal RNA". It matches the Rfam family "Bacterial small subunit ribosomal RNA", at positions 36 to 294 of the family's 1533-position model. Lineage: Bacteria; Bacillati; Bacillota; Clostridia; Eubacteriales. The record is from RNAcentral.
CUGGCGGCGUGCUUAUACAUGCAAGUCGAGCGGAUCGGGGCCUUCGGGUCCCGGUCAGCGGCGGACGGGUGAGGAACACGUGAGUGACCGACCCGGGAGUGGGGGAUAUCGGGCCGAAAGGCGCGGCAAUCCCGCAUACGCUUCGGCGCCUUCGGGCGCCGAAGGAAAGCGCUUCAUGUCGGCUCCGCGGCCGGGCUCGCGGCCCAUUACGCUAGGUGUGGGGGGGUAAUGGCUCGUCUCCAAGGCCGAGCUGAUGCGGUCAUG